GAGCGUGGGAGGGGUGCUGGGUGGGAGCUCAGCCUGGCCCCCUUGGGGCAGGACUGACUGCCAACUCGGCACCCACAGCAGGCGCCGGGUGCUCUGACUGUGCUGAGCAAGGGACAGCAAGCCGGGUCCGCCAAGAGGAGACUGCAUGUCAGAGGUCCCAGCAGGAGUUUCUCCAGCCCAGCCGUCCUGCUGGAGAAGCUCGUUCGCAGAUGUUGUUUCUAAGGACUGUGCCCUGUCCACGGCGCCUCCUGCAUGUCCUGCUGCUCUGAGCUGUCCCGAGCUAGGUGACAGCGUACCACGCUGCCACCAUGAACGAGGUGUCUGUCAUCAAAGAAGGCUGGCUCCACAAGCGUGGUGAAUACAUCAAGACCUGGAGGCCACGGUACUUCCUGCUGAAGAGCGACGGCUCCUUCAUUGGAUACAAGGAGAGGCCCGAGGCCCCUGAUCAGACCCUACCCCCCUUAAACAACUUCUCCGUAGCAGAAUGCCAGCUGAUGAAGACCGAGAGGCCGCGACCCAACACCUUUGUCAUACGCUGCCUGCAGUGGACCACAGUCAUCGAGAGGACCUUCCACGUGGAUUCUCCAGACGAGAGGGAGGAGUGGAUGCGGGCCAUCCAGAUGGUCGCCAAUAGCCUCAAGCAGCGGGCCCCAGGCGAGGACCCCAUGGACUACAAGUGUGGCUCCCCCAGUGACUCCUCCACGGCUGAGGAGAUGGAAGUGGCGGUCAGCAAGGCACGGGCUAAAGUGACCAUGAAUGACUUCGACUAUCUCAAACUCCUUGGCAAGGGAACCUUUGGCAAAGUCAUCCUGGUGCGGGAGAAGGCCACUGGCCGCUACUACGCCAUGAAGAUCCUGCGGAAGGAAGUCAUCAUUGCCAAGGAUGAAGUCGCUCACACAGUCACCGAGAGCCGGGUCCUCCAGAACACCAGGCACCCGUUCCUCACUGUGAGUUGCCCUCCCCUUCCCAGACAGUGUGAGGCCAGCCUUUGGACAGAGCUCAGAGAAAGAGCCCAAAUCUUCUGCUACAAAGCACAGCCUUGGGGUAGGCCAGGCGGGCAGGGCAAGGUGUUGCUGCGCCCUGCCAAGUCAUCCGAACCAAGACGUGGUGGGGGUGAGCAGGCUUGGGGAGUGGGAGGGUGACAGCUUCUUCAUAGAUGGUGGCUUCAUGCAAGCAUUUGAACCAACUGAAGAUAUCACGUUAUUUGAUGGCUGCUGUCUCUAUGAGUUAGGAGCACUUAGCCCAGCUGGUUGAAGUGGAAACAUUAUUUUUUUUGUUUUUGUUUUCAGAUAUGCUCAUAGAAGCAGAUGUGUUAGCAUUGUGUUGUCUGUCAGCCUGGACUGAGUAGAUGCCUGUUUGGGCUGCAGUCUCCAUCAAGGCCAGUGGCCACCAGUUAAAUG
This 1400-nucleotide small RNA is filed under the name Pongo abelii (Sumatran orangutan). RNAcentral's name for it is "retained intron". Lineage: Eukaryota; Metazoa; Chordata; Mammalia; Primates; Hominidae. The record is from RNAcentral.